GGCGGGUGCGGGGGGCAGCCGGCAGCACCGCAGCAGUGUAACUCUGUUUCUUCAUUUCUUCUUCUUCUCCGAACAAACACUGAAACACAGAUCUGUUUUUGUUUUUUGUUUUUACAUUACAUGAAACGACGUCGUUUCUGUAAAAAAAAAAAUUAAAAGAAAAUAUUUUUUUUAUUAAGUCUUCACUUCACUUGAAUCACUUCCUCAGUUGCCUCUCCUCUAUCUCCGUGACUCCACCUCUCUCAGUCUCCCUCUUUUCAGAUCUUCUGCCUCUGGCCCGCCACUACUCUGCCCGGCGCCUACCGCAGCCCGCCGCCGUCAUCUGUACUUUGCUCCACGCCUCCACUGGGACCACUGCUUUAGAUUUUGGUAAGUAAUUUGACUAAUUUCUAAUUUUAAUUUAGCCUAAAUGUCUUUCAAAUUUGGUAAUUUUAAUUUGCUAAUUCUGUUUUCUACACUUAGUUUAUGUGCGUGCUCAUACCACCUGGCCAUUGUUAGUUGAACAAUUAAAAGUUUCCUUUUUCCUUUUUUUCCAAUAUUAUUUCAAUAAUUGUCAACUUUUUAUUGCCCAUACCUACCCAUUUAUUUCAAUUGAUGACUGAAAGUCCAAAUGGGUGUGGUGUUUUUUUGGUUGAGGCUUAAAGCUCAGAUUCCUAUUCCAAUUUAUUCCUUAAAUUUCAAUAUUCAUGGUGUUUUUGUUUAGAGAUUAGUGGCCGACUUAAUUGUGUAAUUUGGUUUCAGAAGAUGGCUCAAUAUUAGAUUAGAUACUAAUCACUGUUGUCAUUUGGUUGUUGCAUGAUAAUCAUACUAAGAUGUGAUAUUUAGCUCUAAUUUCUAUAAAAUAUUAAAUUGGUUUGCAUAAUACUUCAUUAAUUAAUAGAUAGAUUAUGUAUGCUUUUAGGUAUAAAUCAGUUAGAUUUUGACUGAAUUAGUGACAUGGAGUAUAGUUGUUAGUGUGCGAAGUAAUAAGGAUGGCGAAUUCGGGUUGGAACACAAAGAAAUGGCUAAGAAAUCUGUUUGUUAAAGUGGCGCACAUAACAUAUUCGCUAAAAGUUCUCUUAGGACUGUUUUUGCUAAAAACUAGGAAUUAAGCAAAGCCAACGUCCUAAAUUCCGCAAGUGGUGGUAUUAAUAAUUUCGGUUCGUUUGGUUUAAAAUUUUUGACCCCCCUAUAAAAAUGUUCUGGUUCCGCCACUGUGCAAAUAUGAUAUACAUUGUUGUUUGGAUGAAAUUAAAUCAUGGUUAGGUGAAAUAUUUAACUCCCAAGAUGGAAGCAUAAUUUGUGCAUUGUAUUGCAGCGGCUGUUUAGCUUGGUUUUGUUGAGCUAUUUGAUGUCUUGAGUGUAGCACAUGUUUUGAGUUUAGGAGGCUAUAUAGAUUGUUAGAUGCAUUUGUUGGUAUCACAUAUAUAAGAUUAAAAUGUUCUAGCAACUUCUUUUGGUGGAUUUAGAAUUUCUUUUUAAGUUGAUAGGUAAUCUAUUCAUGCAUACUAUUACUUUGUUGAAAUCUAAUAUUAGUAGGUGCACAUGGCCUAUUUUUUAAUCUUUUUCCCUUGAAUAAAUUACAAAUUCCUAUAAAAUGGUUUAAUUGCCUUAUUUUCGGUAUUAUGAUAUUUUUUCUAAUAUAAAUAUUGUGUGUUCACUUUUACAAUAUGUUUAGAUGGAACAAUGCCUGGUUAUUGCAUCGCGUGUAUGGGUCAGGAGCAAAUAGUUGGCUCAUUCAACUGGAGGUUAAAUGACUUUUGUAUUGUUAUUUUUUUCGAAGUCCGAAGAAAAUACAUGCUUAUAUGCUUACACAUUUAUUGCACUACUAAUGAAUUGUCUUCAACAACUUAUGUGUUGUGACAACCCGAAUUUUUAAAAGUUAUUAAAGUAAGAAUUUAAUAAUUAAAAAUUCUUAUUAUGAGAUGUAUAUAUUUUGAAUUAUGUGACUUGGUGUGAAGAGAUUAAGUGUGAAUAUAAAAGAGAUGUAUAUGUUUGGAAAAUAGG
RNAcentral lists this long non-coding RNA (1986 nucleotides) under Panax ginseng (ginseng). RNAcentral's name for it is "long non-coding RNA (PGIN_LNC010054)". Lineage: Eukaryota; Viridiplantae; Streptophyta; Magnoliopsida; Apiales; Araliaceae. The record is from RNAcentral.